This 407-nucleotide ribosomal RNA is filed under the name uncultured bacterium. Its description in RNAcentral is "partial 16S ribosomal RNA". It matches the Rfam family "Bacterial small subunit ribosomal RNA", at positions 360 to 774 of the family's 1533-position model. The record is from RNAcentral.
AAUAUUGCGCAAUGGAGGGAACUCUGACGCAGCGUCGCGGAUUGAGCGAUGAAUGACUUCGGAUCGUAAAGCUCUGUUCUUGGGGAAGGAGGUGUUCGGACUUGACGGUACUUAAAGAGGAAGACCCGGCUAAUUACGUGCCAGCAGACGCGGUAAUAAGUAGGGGGCAAGCGUUGUCCGGAAUUAUUGGGCGUAAAGGGUGCGUAGGCGGCCUUUUAAGUCAGAUGUGAAAGCCCACGGCUUAACCGUGGGACUGCAUUUGAAACUGGAGGGCUUGAGUAUCGGAGAGGGUAGUGGAAUUCCCAGUGUAGCGGUGGAAUGCGUAGAUAUUGGGAGGAACACCAGUGGCGAAGGCGACUACCUGGACGAAAACUGACGCUGAGGCACGAAAGCUAGGGGAGCAAACA